UGAGGUGAAACAGAAUAGGGAAUCCGGUGUGAAUCCGGAACUGUACCCGCAGCUGUAAGUUCCUGUAAAAGAAUUUUGUACUUCAAUGUCACUGGUUGAAACCGGGAAGGCGGCAAAAUUCGGAACAAGUCAGAAGACCUGCCAAAGCACGU
This 152-nucleotide non-coding RNA is filed under the name Gabonibacter massiliensis. The record is from RNAcentral. Lineage: Bacteria; Pseudomonadati; Bacteroidota; Bacteroidia; Bacteroidales; Porphyromonadaceae.